GGGAAUGUGGCUUAGUGGUAGAGUGCUUGCCUUACAUGCAUCAAACUCUAGGUUCAAUUCCUCAGUACCA
This 70-nucleotide transfer RNA is filed under the name Dipodomys ordii (Ord's kangaroo rat). It matches the Rfam family "tRNA". Rfam says of the family: Transfer RNA (tRNA) molecules are approximately 80 nucleotides in length. Their secondary structure includes four short double-helical elements and three loops (D, anti-codon, and T loops). Lineage: Eukaryota; Metazoa; Chordata; Mammalia; Rodentia; Heteromyidae. The record is from Rfam by way of RNAcentral.